Onychomys torridus (southern grasshopper mouse) is the source of this 1169-nucleotide long non-coding RNA. RefSeq lists it as uncharacterized. NCBI's taxonomy places the organism in Eukaryota, Metazoa, Chordata, Mammalia, Rodentia, Cricetidae. The transcript is spliced from 3 exons. The record is from RefSeq and is a predicted model, not a curated record.
UCCCCUGGGACUAGAGUUAAAUUAAAGAUGGUUGUGAGCCACCAUGUUGUUCCUGAGAAUUAAACCUGGAUCCUCGCAAAGGUCACUAAGUGCUCUUAACUGCUGAGUCAUCUCUCCAGGGCAGGAAAUUCUUAAGGGCGAGUCCUUGGAAAGGCUGAGGAAGCUUCUGCUCCCAGAGCCUUUGCUUACUCCCAGUUGAGUUGGGAGGGUAACUGUAUUUGAUUUUUGGAGUUCUUUGGGGCUCUGGAUUCAGUCACUUCUCAGUCUAUACUCUUGUUAGCUUUUGUAACUCAGCCUGAGUAACAGUUACGUGGUGGCUUUGCUGAAUCCUUUCUCCUCAACCAAACCAACCCUUCCCUCGUUUUGUGGUGGUGGGACUUAAACCUACACAUGGCCUUGUGCCCACUGGACAUGUGCCCUUGGUGGGUGUCAGAGUGAAUACUGCCAUCCUAGCUUAGGAAGCUGAGAUAGCAGUUGGGCAGGGGGGCGUGCCAUGAGUUUGAGCUACAUGACAAGACCUUGUCUCAAAACAUAGGUGAUGAGAUCUCUAAGAAGGUUCUUCUCAUUCUUUACAUAGAAGAGGAUUAAAGAGUAUAGACAGUUCACAGAAUCUUUGGGAGGCUUUCAGAUUGUUCCUGAAGAAACAGAUCUAGGCCCUAUCAUGGAGUUCCACAUGCAGGAAGCCCAAAACUGCAUAAACUGAUUACCGUGGCACAUGCAUCUAAUCCCAGCUUCAGAAGUUCAAGGUCAUUCUCAGGAGUGUAAGGAGUUCAAGGGCAGCAACAUGAGAUCCUGUCUCAAAAGGAAGAGAUAAAGAAAAAGCUUCAAGGUGCCUCAUUACUGGAGCAGGCUGCCCAUGAACUUUAGGGAUAACCAACAACCAGGAAGCUGCCUGCUAUGUCAGGAAACCGAACACUUGCCAGCUCUAGAACCUCACCAGCCUGCCAGGUGCUGUGGCCACAAAGGUGAAGGACUCACUUCCUGUUUCCGUGCCCACAUCACUCCAGUCAAAGUCUGAGCUGUCCCGAUCAACCAAGACACUGACAAGGAGCCAGAGUGAGAGGAAUUGAACCUAGUUUGGCACAUAUUAUGCAAGUGCUCUACUGUCUGCUGCCUACCUGUAUCCUCUUUGGGUGUGUGUGGGUUGUUUCAAGACAGGGUUUCUCUCU